Molecule: ribosomal RNA, 397 nt
Filed under: uncultured bacterium
Lineage: Bacteria
Description: partial 16S ribosomal RNA
Rfam family: Bacterial small subunit ribosomal RNA
Source: RNAcentral
AUACGUAGGGGGCGAGCGUUGUCCGGAAUGAUUGGGCGUAAAGGGCGCGUAGGCGGCCCGGUAAGUCUGGAGUGAAAGUCCUGUUUUUAAGAUGGGAAUUGCUUUGGAUACUGUCGGGCUUGAGUGCAGGAGAGGUAAGUGGAAUUCCCAGUGUAGCGGUGAAAUGCGUAGAGAUUGGGAGGAACACCAGUGGCGAAGGCGACUUACUGGACUGUAACUGACGCUGAGGCGCGAAAGCGUGGGGAGCGAACAGGAUUAGAUACCCUGGUAGUCCACGCUGUAAACGAUGAAUGCCAGGUGUAGGGGGUAUCGACCCCUCCUGUGCCGGAGUAAACGCAAUAAGCAUUCCGCCUGGGGAGUACGGCCGCAAGGUUGAAACUUAAAGGAAUUGACGGGG